UACGUAGGGUGCAAGCGUUAACCGGAAUUACUGGGCGUAAAGCGUGCGCAGGCGGUUUUGUAAGUCUGACGUGAAAUCCCCGGGCUCAACCUGGGAAUUGCGUUGGAGACUGCAAGGCUAGAAUCUGGCAGAGGGGGGUAGAAUUCCACGUGUAGCAGUGAAAUGCGUAGAGAUGUGGAGGAACACCGAUGGCGAAGGCAGCCCCCUGGGUCAAGAUUGACGCUCAUGCACGAAAGCGUGGGGAGCGAACAGG
Molecule: ribosomal RNA, 253 nt
Filed under: uncultured bacterium
Lineage: Bacteria
Description: partial 16S ribosomal RNA
Rfam family: Bacterial small subunit ribosomal RNA
Source: RNAcentral